UACGAAGGGGGCUAGCGUUGCUCGGAAUUACUGGGCGUAAAGGGCGCGUAGGUGGCCAGUUUAGUCAGAGGUGAAAGCCCAGGGCUCAACCUUGGAAUUGCCUUUGAUACUGGCUGUCUUGAGUACGGAAGAGGUAUGUGGAACUCCGAGUGUAGAGGUGAAAUUCGUAGAUAUUCGGAAGAACACCAGUGGCGAAGGCGACAUACUGGUCCGUUACUGACACUGAGGCUCGAAAGCGUGGGGAGCAAACAGG
This 253-nucleotide ribosomal RNA is filed under the name uncultured bacterium. RNAcentral's name for it is "partial 16S ribosomal RNA". It matches the Rfam family "Bacterial small subunit ribosomal RNA", at positions 524 to 776 of the family's 1533-position model. The record is from RNAcentral.